Sorghum bicolor (sorghum) is the source of this 231-nucleotide long non-coding RNA. RefSeq lists it as uncharacterized. NCBI's taxonomy places the organism in Eukaryota, Viridiplantae, Streptophyta, Magnoliopsida, Poales, Poaceae. The transcript has 3 exons. The record is from RefSeq and is a predicted model, not a curated record.
GUUUGCUAACAUGUUUUUAUACAUGCAAAACUAAAUUUUUAGAUGCACGCACACCCUCGCCAAGCAGCAAACAAGGCACGGCGGACUGCAAGGGGCGAAAAAUCUGGUGGCUCUGAAACACUGUCAUCCAAUAAGAGAGAGAGGAAGGUACACGACGAAAUGCAAGCACAUCCUUCACAAGAGGCAAAAAAGGCACGACGCACUGCAAGGGUUGAAAAACCUAGUGGCUCU